This is a non-coding RNA of Phrynosoma platyrhinos (Desert horned lizard), 73 nucleotides long. NCBI's taxonomy places the organism in Eukaryota, Metazoa, Chordata, Lepidosauria, Squamata, Phrynosomatidae. The record is from the annotation of a GenBank genome assembly.
GACCCAGUGUGGUGUAGCGGUUUCAGCACUAGACUAGGACUCUGGAGACCAGGGUUCAAACCCAGUUUAGUCA